RNAcentral lists this long non-coding RNA (231 nucleotides) under Brachypodium distachyon (stiff brome). Its description in RNAcentral is "long non-coding RNA (BDIS_LNC005910)". Lineage: Eukaryota; Viridiplantae; Streptophyta; Magnoliopsida; Poales; Poaceae. The record is from RNAcentral.
GAACAUUUCCAAAUAGUAGUACCAUAUUUGAAUUCUACUACUUCUCGGCUUUUCAAAAUGGUAUUUGAAAUUUGAAUCCAAAACUAUUUGCAACAACAGAAAACAGGAAAAAGGAAAAUAAAAUAAAAAGGAAAGCCUUACCUACUUACCUCAGGCCCGAGCCAGCCCAGCAGCCGCCUCGGCCCAGCCUCGCGCGCGCUCCCCGCAGACCAGCCGCUCAGCCACGCCGCC